GCCUUCAUUUGCUUAUUUUUUUCCUCGCGGGUACAAUGUGUUUUGAGGCGUUUUUCACGAGCAUGAUAAAAAACUGAAGGUUUACAAACAACAUCUCUUAGCAACCAUCAGUUAAAAACGCAUUGCAUCUGGACUUGUUUCCGGAUGCAAAGCAUUUUUUACUGAACCCCUAUUCACUUCUAUGGGGCCAGGGCUGCGUGAAAAACGCAGAAUAUAGAACAUGCUGCGUUUUUCACGCACCGCAGAACU
Long non-coding RNA from Bufo bufo (common toad), 249 nucleotides. RefSeq lists it as uncharacterized. The record is from RefSeq and is a predicted model, not a curated record. Lineage: Eukaryota; Metazoa; Chordata; Amphibia; Anura; Bufonidae. The transcript has 3 exons.